AUGGCACAUGUGCAAAGACAAGAUGGGGCCCAGCCAGGAAGUGGCAGUGAGGCCAGGUGUGAGCAGGAGAAAGGAAGCUCUCAAAGGGAACAGAGAUUCUCCACUCUGCCAUCCCCACGUGUGUCCCACUUGUUUCUGGGAACAAAAGAAUUCUGUGGUCAAGUAAAUCUUGGACAACACUCCCUCCUGCAGACAGGAACUCUAUCAAUCAUAUCCAGGGAGCAGCUGCAAGCAACAGACAACCAAUAUCUCCCAAGUGAGUUUGAAAGGAUCUUAUUACCCAGCAUCCUAAGGGGGCUAUAGCCUUGGGAACCACAGGCAGAAAUAAUUAAUUCAGCUCCUCGGUUAGCGACUCUUCAGUUCAAGAUGGAAUUUAUCUGCAGGCAUGGCUCCUUAACAGUUGCCAAACCCAUGCUCAAGACACACUCCUUCUCCUGGAAAGUUAAUGUGGCUGUUUCAUCCAUGAGGGAGAGUGAGGACCAUGCUCUCCAAACAGGCUAUACCUGGACUACCUCUGUUUCUGUCUCCUGGGAUUCUAAUCAGCAAAUGAGCGACAAAGCAACCCAGACACUGUGUUCAUAAGAUGGCUUGAGAGCUGGGUGAGUGGCUGUUUUUCCCUUACAGUGGAUGUGUAUCAGUGAAGGAACCUGUAGAACAUUCUUGACAGGAACAUUUAGUCAUAUGAAGUCAAGAAAUUAAUGUUUAAACUGGGCGUGGUGGCUCAUGUCUGUAAUCUCAACACUUUGGGAGGCCAAGGUGAGUGGGUCACCUGAGGUCAGGGAGUCAAGACCAGCCUGGCCAACAUGGUGAAACCCCGUCUGUACUAAAAUACAAAAAUUAGCUGGGCAUGGUGGCACAUGCUUGUAGUCCUAGCUACUUGGGAGGCUGAGGCAGGAAAAUCACCUGAACCUGGGAGACAGAGGUUGCAGUGAGCCAAGAUCGCACCACUGCACUCCAGCCUGGGUGACAGAGUGAGAGUCCAUCUCAAAAAAAAAAAGAAGAAAUUAAUGUUUUUGGAUCAUCAGAGACCAUGACCAUAUUGAAAAGCCAAUAUUUUACUUUUGACUUAUUCAUAUAAUCAUAUUUUGACUGGGCACAGUGCUGGGAUUACACGCCUAUAAUCCCAACACUUUGGGAGGCCAAGGUGGGCAGAUCACUUGAGCCAAGAAGUUCAAGACCAGCCUGGGCAACACGGUGAAACUCCAUCUCUAUAAAAAAUAGAAAAAAUUAGCUGAAAGUAGUCAGUGUGAUGUAGUCCCAGCUACCUGGGAAGCUGAGGUGGGAGGAUCACCUCAGCCCAGGAAGUGAAGGCUGCAGUGAGCUGUGAUUGUACCACUGUACUCCAGCCUGGGUGAUAGACUGAGGCCCUGUCUCAAAAACAUAAGGAAAGAAGGAAGGAAGGAAGGAAGGAAGGAAGGAAGGAAGGAAGGAAGGAAGGAAGGAAGGAAGGAAAUCAUACCCUGCUGAGGAGACAAUUCAACACAGUAUUUUUUUAUUGAAAACAUACUGUGAGUCAGUGUGCCAGAUACAAGCUCUGUCUAAAAAGAUUUUGGGAGGAGCAUGUGUAUGGGAGGGAUGUGUGAGUGUGUAUAACAAGGGGGACUCAUAGGGAAGAAGAGGAAGACAAGCCCCAGAGGUAUACUACAUAGGCAAUCUACGCAACAGCCUAGCAAGAGAGCAAGCCAUGGGUACAGUAGAGAGAAUCAGAGGAUGGAGUGGGGACCAUUUCUAGUGGGUGAGAUCAGGAGAGACUUGAAUAAUCUGAGUGAAUUUAGAGAUGGGCCUUGAAAGGUGGACAAGAUUUUUUUUUUAAGACAGUCUCGCUUUGUCACCCAAGCUGGAGUGCAAUGGUGCAAUCAUGGACUCACUGCAGCCUUGACCUCCUGGGCUCAAGCGAUCCUCCCACGUCAGCCUCCUGAGUAGCUGGAAGUAUAGGUAUGUGUCACCACACCCUGCUAAAUUUUUUUUUAGAGAUACGGUCUUGCUAUGUUGCCCAGGCUGGUCACAAACUUCGGCAUUCAAGUGAUCCUCCUGCUUUGGCCUCUCAAAAUGCUGGGAUUACAGGAAUGAGCCACUGCACCCAGCACUGGUGAAAAAGAUUUUAACGGCUAGAUUAGAGGGAAGAGGGUGCCUUAGUAAAGCCAUCCCUAUGAAAAAGCAUGAGUUCUUCUGGGAGAAAGGUCCAGGUUGGCAGAGGGUAGUUUGUAGAUUCACAUGAAUAGCAAAAUGCCUUGGGCUGUUAUGUACCCUGAGUGCUAGGCUGAGGGGCUUCACCUUCUUCUAGGAGGGCAGAAAGAGACAAAACCUGGAGAAGUUUUUCAAUGGAAUUUAAACUAGAAAGUGAUGUGGCCAGAGCUGAAGAGCUGUGUGUGGAUAGACUUGAAGUUGAGAAGCUGUUGAGAAGCUCUCAAAGUCAGCAGAACAAGAUAUAAUAUAAGGGCAAGGAGAAUAAGAGAAGUUAAUGGAAGUAAGGGCACUGCAGAAAAUUGACACUUAAUAACUGAUUGAAAAUGGGCCAAAAGUGUGUUAGAUUGGACACCUUUGCCUGCUAGGACCAGAAAAAUCUCAAACUGGUUUAAAUAAUAAGGGCAUUGAUUGGCUGAUGAAAAUGCAAGCCCAGAAAGGAGGCAGGCUUCAGCAUCAGUCUAAUCCAGGAGCCUGGCUCCAUUUCCCUGCACUUCCCUGCUGCCGUUAUCUGCAU
This 2701-nucleotide long non-coding RNA is filed under the name Callithrix jacchus (white-tufted-ear marmoset). Its description in RNAcentral is "lncRNA (ENSCJAG00000081108.1)". Lineage: Eukaryota; Metazoa; Chordata; Mammalia; Primates; Cebidae. The record is from RNAcentral.